UUUAAUCAAUACUAAAUUGAUUCGUCACAUUUGCUAACCAAAUAAAACUAAAUAUAUUUAUGCAGUUGCAGUAAAAGUGAAGUUAUCUCAGCUCGUAAGGUUUCCUUCAAAUUGAAAAUAUGAGAACCAAAAGUUCUUUAUUAACUUUCAUUUUUUUGCUGUUGUUUAGCUUCCAGCUGAUUUCCGGAGUCCUACUGGGAGACGCUGAAGAAAUGGGCCCUGAAUGGUGAUCAAUACCGAUUGAAUACGGAGAGAUUCACCAACGUGAUAUCACUAAAGAUGAUAUCAACCACAAGGAGGGCAAAAUUUAAAAAUAUUCUCGAAUUGCACAGUCGUUAAAACUGAACCCUUUAAUAAAUCGAAGAGUCAUUUAAGUCACCCAGA
This 384-nucleotide unclassified non-coding RNA is filed under the name Drosophila mojavensis. RNAcentral's name for it is "GI26138". The record is from RNAcentral. Lineage: Eukaryota; Metazoa; Arthropoda; Insecta; Diptera; Drosophilidae.